AUGUUUCUUCAGCUCCGUCCAACAAAGGAUGUCUCAACUUUGACUAAAUUUGAAUGCAUCUAUACACUAAGUCAUGUCUAGAUACAUCCAAAUUUUUACAAACUUGAGACAUCUUUUGUUGGACAGAGGGAGUAUCAA
Molecule: non-coding RNA, 138 nt
Organism: Brachypodium distachyon (stiff brome)
Lineage: Eukaryota; Viridiplantae; Streptophyta; Magnoliopsida; Poales; Poaceae
Source: Rfam